UUUCUUUUUUUUUUUUUUUUUUUACUCUCAAUUAUUUGCUAGAAUUACCAACACUUGAGAUGAGCUGCCUUUGGAGGUGCUGAGUUUUUUAGUGUCGGCACCAGCUCAGCAGAACUCUGGAGGAUAAACUUUAAAUACAGAGUUUCAGCAAGCAAAGCCAAAACUUCUCUAGUCCAUCUUGGACGUGGUGGAAGUGUGCUAUGUUAAUUUUACGUUUUCAUCGAGUGCCAAGGGUCAGUACAGGCCCUCUGACCUGCUGUGUCCAGAGACCUACGUGUGGACGCCGAUCGAGCAGUGCCUGCCCCUGCUGGAGAACUCCAAGUACUCUCGGUUCAACCAGGAUGAAAAAGCAGGUAAAGAAGGAGAUGGGA
This is a long non-coding RNA of Empidonax traillii (willow flycatcher), 371 nucleotides long. RefSeq lists it as uncharacterized. Lineage: Eukaryota; Metazoa; Chordata; Aves; Passeriformes; Tyrannidae. The record is from RefSeq and is a predicted model, not a curated record. The transcript is spliced from 3 exons.